Molecule: non-coding RNA, 395 nt
Organism: Paramuricea clavata
Lineage: Eukaryota; Metazoa; Cnidaria; Anthozoa; Malacalcyonacea; Plexauridae
Source: the annotation of a GenBank genome assembly
GUUGCAUUUAUGAUAAAAUUUCGGCAGGAUUUUACCGAGUACAAAUCCUCCGAAAAGCCUAUGAAAACGUUACAUUUUUCUCUGUUGGUGCUGUUCUUGCUUUAUUAUGAAUUCAUUUUUGCUCCCAUGAGAGUUCCGUGGAAUUUCCAUGGAAUUUGUGCUUUCGAGUUGUUUGUGCUGAAACGCAUUCUCUCGUAUAAUGCCCCGUACACUUUGAAAUGGCGAUGCCACAAUUUACCCCGCAGCAGAGAGCUUUUACGGUAUCAGAGUUCCUCCGUAGCAACAACAUAAACUUGGUUCGCCAAAGUUUCACGAAAGAAUAUCCAGAUGUACGAUGCCCUUCACGUGCGAAGCCGAAAUUUUAUCAUAAAUGCAACAAAUAGCGAACUUUUCAU